This 735-nucleotide ribosomal RNA is filed under the name Kiritimatiellia bacterium. RNAcentral's name for it is "partial 23S ribosomal RNA". It matches the Rfam family "Bacterial large subunit ribosomal RNA", at positions 1136 to 1865 of the family's 2925-position model. Lineage: Bacteria; Pseudomonadati; Kiritimatiellota; Kiritimatiellia. The record is from RNAcentral.
AAUAGCUCACUGGUCAAGCGGGCCUGCACCGAAAAUAUAACGGGGCUCAAGCCAUGCGCCGAAGCUGCGGAUUGUCUCUUAGGAGACAGUGGUAGGGGAGCGUUCCCCGUGCGGCGAAGCUGUGGUGGAAACCAUGGUGGAGCGCGGGGAAGUGAGGAUGUUGGCAUGAGUAACGAAAAUGCGGGCGAGAAACCCGCACGCCGAAAGUCCAAGGGUUCCUGGGCCAGGUUAAUCNNNNNNNNNNGGCACCUAAGGCGAGGCCGAAAGGCGUAGUCGAAGGAAAACCGGUUCAUAUUCCGGUACUUGCGGUGACGCGUGAUGGAGGGACGCAGGAGGAUAGGUCGGCCGGGUGAUGGAUGUCCCGGUUUAAGACGGUAGCCGGAAGCUUCAGGUAAAUCCGGAGCUUCAACGGCGAGAGUCGAUGACGAGAGGCUUUGCCUCACAAAGCGAUUGAUUCCACACUGCCAAGAAAAGCUUCUAAGCAUAGCCAAGGCGAACCGUACCCCAAACCGACACAGGUGGACAGGUAGAGAAUACCAAGGCGCUUGAGAGAAACCAUGUUAAGGAACUCUGCAAAUUAACUCCGUACCUUUGGAAGAAGGAGUGCCCACAAAGUGAAGGGGCUUGCCCCUGGAGCUUAGCUGGGUCGCAGUGACCAGGCCUGGCCGACUGUUUAGCAAAAACAUAGCACUCUGCAAACUAGAAAGAGGAAGUAUAUGGUGUGACGCCUGAACG